This 301-nucleotide ribosomal RNA is filed under the name uncultured bacterium. Its description in RNAcentral is "partial 16S ribosomal RNA". It matches the Rfam family "Bacterial small subunit ribosomal RNA", at positions 509 to 807 of the family's 1533-position model. The record is from RNAcentral.
CAGCCGCCGCGGUAAUACGAAGGGUGCAAGCGUUACUCGGAAUUACUGGGCGUAAAGCGUGUGUAGGUGGUUGUUUAAGUCUGUCGUGAAAGCCCUGGGCUCAACCUGGGAAUUGCGAUGGAUACUGGGCGACUAGAGUGCGGUAGAGGAUAGUGGAACUUCCGGUGUAGCAGUGAAAUGCGUAGAGAUCGGAAGGAACAUCUGUGGCGAAGGCGACUAUCUGGGCCAACACUGACACUGAGACACGAAAGCGUGGGGAGCAAACAGGAUUAGAUACCCGCGUAGUCCCUGUCUCUUAUAC